RNAcentral lists this transfer RNA (66 nucleotides) under Glyphodes perspectalis. RNAcentral's name for it is "tRNA-Pro". Lineage: Eukaryota; Metazoa; Arthropoda; Insecta; Lepidoptera; Crambidae. The record is from RNAcentral.
CAAAGAAUAGUUUAAAAAAAAUAAUAAUUUUGGAGAUUAUUGAUAAGGAAAAAUCUUUUUCUUUGA